UUUCAAGUCCAUUUAUGUAUUUAUUUGGCAAUAGCAAGGUAAUAUGCAGGACAUUUUAGAGUCAGUCGGUCAGUAACAAAAUAAACCCCUUCAGGGGCUGAACCUGAUCAUCCUGUCAGGGUUUAUUUAAUGAUAAUGACCAACUGACUAUACAUUACCUCUUACAUAUUUCAUUAAAACAAAGUAAUAGUCUUGACAUUCAUGGUUACAUUUGUAAUUUUACAUUUCAUGUCUCUGUAAAGGCGCCAACACUCCCCCAGCAAUAACAAUAGACCGUAAUUCAUCAUAUGAGGGUCUCCAGGAAUAAGAGGAAGAGCGUAAACAUGAAAACUGAGACGACAGGCAGACGAGAACAUACAGAGGUCAGGCCUGUAAUCAUCUGACCCAAUCAAUAAUUAACCAAGGUCACCUUUAAUGACGGCGAAGCAACGUGGCAUAUAUUAUUCAUACAAACCGCUACAUGAAAAGACAGUGGUGGAGAGACUGUGAAAGUGAGACUAAGGUGAUGGAUGGACAGAAAGACAAAGUAAUUGAGAACCAGUAAACCGAUCUUUCUGAAGAGACAUCAUUCAUAUACACUUGCUGGUCAUGUCAAAGAAAUGUUUCUGAGGAAUCUUAACAGAUUUGCUCUGUGAUGCAGCAAACUCCUCUGUAGUACCCAUUCGAUGAAUCACCACAGAGCUGGAACCUGUAAUAUAAAUGCAGUUCACUCAAAUGCCACAAGAGUUUCAAAGAGACAUUCAUCUUAGAGGAAACAAAGUGAGCCAAUCUCCACGGGGAGGUUUGCGGUGAGAGAGGACUGAGGAGUGUAAAUGCCGGCAGUCGAGCGUGGCGGGACCUCUCCUGCUGCAAGGCAAAAGAGAGAAAGUUUGAGGCAAACUGGAGUCUUUGUUCAUAUCCCACGUGGCAGAAGGGGAUUUCCUUGCUUUCCCUCACUCUGACGCACUUUCACUACACUAAACACACAGGAACAGAUACAGAUAAAUGAUGCAAUGUCAAGCAAUCCAGAGGGAUCAAGGCUGCCAGAAAAAAAGGACAAAGUCCUGACUCUGCCGGACACCUUGCUAACCCUGUGAUGAACCCUCAUCAGCAAAAACUUGACUAUGGAUUGCAAAUAUUUUGCAAUAGGUUGUUUGCACAUGAUGUCACUGAUGAUGCACGAAAUGCAGAUGGAGGGCAGGAAGUGAUUUUUCUCCAUGGGAAUCACUAGCAGAAACUCAAAAUGCAUGUGUUUUGCAUUGUUUAUGGAUGCUUAAAUUGGCCAAACCGAGAGACCACAAGGAGCUUUUAUCAUGUACGAAAAUGCGUUGUUCAUAAGUGGGGAAAAGUCAAGAAAUUGAUUGAAAAACACAGGAAAAAGUGACUUGUAAACCUUUAUCUGUGGUCGGGAGGAACGGGACUGAUGUUCUGACGAUUUGUGCUACCCUGCCAGAUUUUGCUACCUCCCAUUAAAACAGAGGGUAGCAUAAUUCGAUAGCGAAAAGUGCUACCUAUCAGAUUUUGCUUCCAGCAUGAUAUUAAUAAGAUGUGAGGCUUUAUUAAAGGGGUCAUAUGAUGCGAUUUCAAGUUUUCCUUUCUCUUUGGAGUGUUACAAGCUGAUUGUGCAUAGAUAAGAUCCCUGAAAUUGCAAAGACUAAAGUCUCAAAACCAGGGAGGUCAGUGUGUUGCUGUGCAUCAUGGAGAUGCUGUGUGUUUCUAGGCGAAAGUAAAUCACUUUAUUUGGCCUUCUGAAAGUAGAUGCAUUUAGGAAUCUUUAAGAUUACUUACAACAGAACAGAAAUGCAGUUUAUGGACGACCGUUUUGUGAACCUAGGAGAGGAGGUCACCAUAGCCACCAGAUCCAGUCUGUAUCCAAGUCAGAGGGUCACUGCAGUCACCCGGAUCCAGUACGUAUCCAGCCCAGAUGGUGGAUCAGCACCUAGAAAGGACCUCUACAGCCCUGAAAGACAGCGGAGACCAGGACAACUAGAGCCCCAGAGACAGAUCCCCUGUAAAGACCUUGUCUCCGAUGACCACUUGGACAAGACCACAGGAAACAGAUGAUUCUUCUGCACAAUCUGACUUUGCUGCAGCCUGGAAUUGAACUGCUGGUUUCGUCUGGUCAGAGGAGAACUGGCCCCCCGACUGAGCCUGGUUUCUCCCAAGGUUUUUUCUCUAUUCUGUCACCGAUGGAGUUUUGGUUCCUUGCCGCUGUCGCCUCUGGCUUGCUUAGUUGGGGACACUUCAUUUACAGCGAUAUCGUUGACUUGAUUGCAAAUUAUUGCACAGAUACGAUUUAAACUGAACUGAGCUGUGUGAUGACAUCACUGAAUUCAAUGAUGAACUGCCUUUAACUGUCAUUU
Long non-coding RNA from Cyprinus carpio carpio, 2342 nucleotides. NCBI's taxonomy places the organism in Eukaryota, Metazoa, Chordata, Actinopteri, Cypriniformes, Cyprinidae. The record is from Ensembl.